Molecule: ribosomal RNA, 272 nt
Filed under: uncultured Lachnospiraceae bacterium
Lineage: Bacteria; Bacillati; Bacillota; Clostridia; Lachnospirales; Lachnospiraceae
Description: partial 16S ribosomal RNA
Rfam family: Bacterial small subunit ribosomal RNA
Source: RNAcentral
CCGGAGUGCUUGCACUUUGGCAGACUGAGUGGCGGACGGGUGAGUAACGCGUGGGUAACCUGCCUUAUACAGGGGGAUAACAGUUGGAAACGGCUGCUAAUACCGCAUAAGCGCACAGUACCGCAUGGCACAGUGUGAAAAACUCCGGUGGUACAGGAUGGGCCCGCAUCUGAUUAGCUGGUUGGUGAGGUAACGGCCCACCAAGGCGACGAUCAGUAGCCGACCUGAGAGGGUGACCGGCCACAUUGGGACUGAGACACGGCCCAAACUCC